This 322-nucleotide small RNA is filed under the name uncultured Chroococcales cyanobacterium. Its description in RNAcentral is "bacterial LSU rRNA". It matches the Rfam family "Bacterial large subunit ribosomal RNA", at positions 855 to 1175 of the family's 2925-position model. Lineage: Bacteria; Bacillati; Cyanobacteriota; Cyanophyceae; Chroococcales. The record is from RNAcentral.
CUCCCCGAAAUGUGUUGAGGCACAGCGGUCGAGAUGAAGUUUAGGGGUAAAGCACUGUUUCGGUGCGGGCUGCGAGAGCGGUACCGAAGUCAGCCAAACUCCGAAUGCCGGUACUCCACAGCACGGCAGUGAGACCAUGGGGGAUAAGCUUCAUGGUCGAGAGGGAAACAGCCCAGAACGCCAGCUAAGGCCCCAAAUUCUGUGCUCAGUGGCAAAGGAUGUGGGAUUGCCCAGACAGCCAGGAGGUUGGCUUAGAAGCAGCCAUCCUUGAAAGAGUGCGUAACAGCUCACUGGUCGAGUGAUCCUGCGGUCGACGCGGCCG